RNAcentral lists this ribosomal RNA (504 nucleotides) under uncultured bacterium. RNAcentral describes it as "bacterial SSU rRNA". It matches the Rfam family "Bacterial small subunit ribosomal RNA", at positions 24 to 518 of the family's 1533-position model. The record is from RNAcentral.
UCAGGAUGAACGCUAGCUACAGGCUUAGCACAUGCAAGUCGAGGGGCAGCAUGGGAGUUGCUGCAAUCCUGAUGGCGACCGGCGCACGGGUGAGUAACGCGUAUCCAACCUUCCCCUUAGUAGGGCAUAGCCCGGUGAAAAUCGGAUUAAUACCCUAUGUUUUCCAAUGCAGACAUCUAAAAUGGAACAAAGGUUUACCGCUAAGGGAUGGGGAUGCGUCUGAUUAGGUGGUAGGCGGGGUAACGGCCCACCUAGCCUUCGAUCAGUAGGGGUUCUGAGAGGAAGGUCCCCCCACAUUGGAACUGAGACACGGUCCAAACUCCUACGGGAGGCAGCAGUGAGGAAUAUUGGUCAAUGGGCGAGAGCCUGAACCAGCCAAGUAGCGUGCAGGAUGACGGCCCUAUGGGUUGUAAACUGCUUUUAUAUGGGGAUAAAGUUCACCACGUGUGGUGUUUUGCAGGUACCAUAUGAAUAAGGACCGGCUAAUUCCGUGCCAGCCGCCGC